UACGGAGGAUGCGAGCGUUAUCCGGAUUUAUUGGGUUUAAAGGGUGCGUAGGCGGACUGUCAAGUCAGCGGUAAAAUACGGGGGCUCAACCUCCGCCCGCCGUUGAAACUGACGGUCUUGAGUGGGCGAGAAGUAUGCGGAAUGCGUGGUGUAGCGGUGAAAUGCAUAGAUAUCACGCAGAACUCCGAUUGCGAAGGCAGCAUACCGGCGCCCAACUGACGCUGAAGCACGAAGGCGUGGGUAUCGAACAGG
This 252-nucleotide ribosomal RNA is filed under the name uncultured bacterium. RNAcentral describes it as "partial 16S ribosomal RNA". It matches the Rfam family "Bacterial small subunit ribosomal RNA", at positions 524 to 776 of the family's 1533-position model. The record is from RNAcentral.